RNAcentral lists this ribosomal RNA (443 nucleotides) under uncultured bacterium. Its description in RNAcentral is "bacterial SSU rRNA". It matches the Rfam family "Bacterial small subunit ribosomal RNA", at positions 338 to 795 of the family's 1533-position model. The record is from RNAcentral.
CCUACGGGGGGCUGCAGUGGGGAAUAUUGCACAAUGGGGGAAACCCUGAUGCAGCGACGCCGCGUGAAGGAAGAAGGUUUUCGGAUCGUAAACUUCUAUCAGCAGGGAAGAAGAAAGUGACAGUACCUGACUAAGAAGCCCCGGCUAACUACGUGCCAGCAGCCGCGGUAAUACGUAGGGGGCAAGCGUUAUCCGGAAUCACUGGGAGUGAAGGGUGAGUAGGCGGUAGGGCAAGUCAGAUGUGAAAGCCCGGGGCUCAACCCCGGGAUUGCAUUUGAAACUGUCUUACUAGAGUGCAGGAGAGGAGAGUGGAAUUCCCAGUGUAGCGGUGAAAUGCGUAGAUAUGCGGAGGAACACCGAUGGCGAAGGCGGCUCUCUGGACUGUAACUGACGCUGAGGCACGAAAGCGUGGGGAGCGAACAGGAUUAGAUACCCCGGUAGUC